RNAcentral lists this unclassified non-coding RNA (200 nucleotides) under Capnodiales sp. RNAcentral's name for it is "partial internal transcribed spacer 2". The record is from RNAcentral. Lineage: Eukaryota; Fungi; Ascomycota; Dothideomycetes; Capnodiales.
UUAAGUUCAGCGGGUAUCCCUACCUGAUCCGAGGUCAACCUUGAUUGAAAUUUUAACGGCACGGGCCACCCCUCUCGCCAGCGAAUUUGAUGCCACAACGCUGAGAUACGGGUCGUCCAGCCGGUGAAAUUAAGGCGCGGGAGAGCCCCGCCGCCCAAUACCAAGCCGGGGGCUUGAGGGGUGAUAAUGACGCUCGAACA